GAAAAUACUGAGCUGUUCUCUGUGUGGUACAGGCAGUGUGAGGCAUUCUGAAAGGAGCAUUAAUCUUGCCUGGAAGGACCGACCUGCUGGCAGCCAAUUCAUCAGCAACACUCCCUGGAAGCUGCUGGCCCACACUUUCCAUCAGUGGAUUUAAGCUGAGAAGGAAUUGUUUUACAAUUCCAGGGAAUAAUUUUUCCCCAGGAGAAAAUUCUUGUCGUUUUUAGGAUGUCCCAAGAAGGGCUGAACUAUUUCGUUGCUGCUAGAGGAUGCGUUGGUGUAAUACUAAAAAAUUAAACCUUAGAUGAUCAAUUUGCUAAUAGGCAGAGUGUCUUGUAAUAAUAAGUAUUCAUUAUUUCUCUGACCGGCAGGACCAUUCAUAUAAAUUAUCUUUCUUUAGAAAAAUUAAUGUUGUAUAUUUUCCUUACUAAGGGUAUCUUUGCUGUUUUAUAAGUACAUAACCACUUUCUUUGAACUUUACCAUAUGAAAUUGCUUCAUAUUUUCUCAACAAUUACAGUUCAGCUCUGGCUUUAUUUUUAAUUCACAGACAGAAAGCGAUAUAGGCUGUAAUUUCCCUGGAAAGCUAUACCUUAGUUACUGCUGACUGACAUUUCUGUUCUCAUUUUAGCUGCAAAAGCUUCAAAAUUAACUCACCAUUUUUAAUAACAAAUAAACAGAUCUGAACAAAUCA
Molecule: long non-coding RNA, 689 nt
Filed under: Anser brachyrhynchus (Pink-footed goose)
Lineage: Eukaryota; Metazoa; Chordata; Aves; Anseriformes; Anatidae
Description: lncRNA (ENSABRG00000010598.1)
Source: RNAcentral